Molecule: ribosomal RNA, 468 nt
Filed under: uncultured bacterium
Lineage: Bacteria
Description: partial 16S ribosomal RNA
Rfam family: Bacterial small subunit ribosomal RNA
Source: RNAcentral
GACGAACGCUGGCGGCGUGCUUAACACAUGCAAGUCGAACGGAAAGGCCCUGCUUUUGUGAGGUUCUCGAGUGGCGAACGGGUGAGUAACACGUGAGUAACCUGCCCUUGACUUUGGGAUAACUUCAGGAAACUGGGGCUAAUACCGGAUAGGAUCUCCUGCUGCAUGGUGGGGGUUGGAAAGUUUCGGCGGUUGGGGAUGGACUCGCGGCUUAUCAGCUUGUUGGUGGGGUAGUGGCUUACCAAGGCUUUGACGGGUAGCCGGCAUGAGAGGGUGAAUGGAAACAUUGGGACUGAGAUACGGCACAGAAGACUACGGGAGGCAGGAGGGGGGAAUAUUGCACAAUGGGCGGAAGCAUGAUGCAGAAACGCAGCGUGCGGGAUGACGGCAUUCGGGUUGAAAACCGAAUUAGCCUGAGACGAAGCGUGAGUGACGGUAAUGGGUAAAGAAGCACCGGCUAACUACGUG